This 1504-nucleotide ribosomal RNA is filed under the name uncultured prokaryote. RNAcentral's name for it is "partial 16S ribosomal RNA". It matches the Rfam family "Bacterial small subunit ribosomal RNA". The record is from RNAcentral.
AGAGUUUGAUCCUGGCUCAGAACGAACGUUAGCGGCGCGCUUAACACAUGCAAGUCGAACGAGAAAGCACCUUCGGGUGUAAGUAAAGUGGCGCACGGGUGCGUAACACGUGGGUAAUCUGCCCUUUGGUGGGGGACAACAUCUGGAAACGGAUGCUAAUACCGCAUAAGUCGGCUUCGGCCGGGAAAGGUGGCUUCGGCUAUCGCCAGAGGAUGAGCCCGCGGCCCAUCAGCUAGUUGGUAAGGUAAAAGCUUACCAAGGCUACGACGGGUAGCUGGUCUGAGAGGAUGAUCAGCCACACUGGAACUGAGACACGGUCCAGACUCCUACGGGAGGCAGCAGUGGGGAAUAUUGCGCAAUGGGCGAAAGCCUGACGCAGCGACGCCGCGUGGGUGAUGAGAAGGCUCUUGGGUCGUAAAGCUCUGUCAACAGGGAAGAAACAGUUCGUGGUUAAUAGCUGCGAGCCUUGACGGUACCUGUGAAGGAAGCACCGGCUAACUCCGUGCCAGCAGCCGCGGUAACACGGGGGGUGCAAGCGUUAUUCGGAAUUAUUGGGCGUAAAGCGCAUGUAGGCGGAAAAGUCAGUCAGAUGUGAAAGCCCGGGGCUCAACCCCGGAAGUGCAUUUGAAACAGCUUUUCUUGAGUACUGGAGAGGAAAGUGGAAUUCCUGGUGUAGAGGUGAAAUUCGUAGAUAUCAGGAGGAACACCGGUGGCGAAGGCGACUUUCUGGACAGAUACUGACGCUGAGAUGCGAAGGCGUGGGGAGCGAACAGGAUUAGAUACCCUGGUAGUCCACGCAGUAAACGUUGUUCACUAGGUGUAGCGGGUAUUGACCCCUGCUGUGCCGCAGCUAACGCAUUAAGUGAACCGCCUGGGGAGUACGGUCGCAAGAUUAAAACUCAAAGGAAUUGACGGGGGCCCGCACAAGCGGUGGAGCAUGUGGUUUAAUUCGACAACGCGCAGAACCUUACCUAGGCUUGACAUCCUGGAAAUCUUUUAGAGAUAGAAGAGUGCCCUUCGGGGAAUCCAGUGACACAGGUGCUGCAUGGCUGUCGUCAGCUCGUGUUGUGAGAUGUUGGGUUAAGUCCCGCAACGAGCGCAACCCUCGUCACUAGUUACCAUCAUUUCGGCUGGGCACUUUAGCGAGACUGCCGGUGUUAAACCGGAGGAAGGUGGGGAUGACGUCAAGUCCUCAUGGCCCUUAUGCCUAGGGCUACACACGUGCUACAAUGGCAAGUACAGAGGGCAGCGAACUCGCGAGGGUAAGCGAAUCCCAAAAAGCUUGUCUCAGUACGGAUUGGAGUCUGCAACUCGACUCCAUGAAGUCGGAAUCGCUAGUAAUCGCGGAUCAGCACGCCGCGGUGAAUACGUUCCCGGGCCUUGUACACACCGCCCGUCACACCAUGGGAGUUGAUUACUCCAGAAGUCGCUGAGCUAACCUUCGGGGGAGGCAGGCGCCCAAGGAGUGGUUGGUAACUGGGGUGAAGUGGUAACAAGGUAACCA